UUAUUGUAUGAAUCCAACAGAGUAACGGUUCAGAGGGUUAUAAUAAAGAGCUAUCGAACGCUGAUUUGGGAGAGUUCUUAUACUGAGGUUUUAGUCCCUCUAAAGGAAUCCGUUACUAUCUGAUUAUUGUUUCGAUAGCUGUGGCAUGUAGGAUGUUUUGUCUACUCUAUUACUGCUUCUGAGCGUGUAACGCUGUCGACGAUUCGCCUGGGAGUGAUUAUACAUUGAGUAAAGGUAUAGCCUGAGUUGGAGUUUUGAAGGUUAGGAUAAUCGAAAUAAUUCAUAGUCAUGACCACUGCAAUGAGAAAAGAAUUCCUGAAGCCAAA
Bombus impatiens (common eastern bumble bee) is the source of this 326-nucleotide long non-coding RNA. RefSeq lists it as uncharacterized. The record is from RefSeq and is a predicted model, not a curated record. Lineage: Eukaryota; Metazoa; Arthropoda; Insecta; Hymenoptera; Apidae. The transcript is spliced from 2 exons.